UACGUAGGGUGCAAGCGUUAAUCGGAAUUACUGGGCGUAAAGCGUGCGCAGGCGGUUUUGUAAGUCAGAUGUGAAAUCCCCGGGCUUAACCUGGGAACUGCGUUUGAUACUGGAUGGCUUGAGUUCGGGAGAGGGAUGCGGAAUUCCAGGUGUAGCGGUGAAAUGCGUAGAUAUCUGGAGGAACACCGGUGGCGAAGGCGGCAUCCUGGACCGAUACUGACGCUGAGGAGCGAAAGCCAGGGGAGCAAACGGG
RNAcentral lists this ribosomal RNA (253 nucleotides) under uncultured bacterium. RNAcentral describes it as "partial 16S ribosomal RNA". It matches the Rfam family "Bacterial small subunit ribosomal RNA", at positions 524 to 776 of the family's 1533-position model. The record is from RNAcentral.